This 675-nucleotide ribosomal RNA is filed under the name Bacillus subtilis. RNAcentral describes it as "bacterial SSU rRNA". It matches the Rfam family "Bacterial small subunit ribosomal RNA", at positions 409 to 1074 of the family's 1533-position model. Lineage: Bacteria; Bacillati; Bacillota; Bacilli; Caryophanales; Bacillaceae. The record is from RNAcentral.
UGAAGGUUUUCGGAUCGUAAAGCUCUGUUGUUAGGGAAGAACAAGUACCGUUCGAAUAGGGCGGUACCUUGACGGUACCUAACCAGAAAGCCACGGCUAACUACGUGCCAGCAGCCGCGGUAAUACGUAGGUGGCAAGCGUUGUCCGGAAUUAUUGGGCGUAAAGGGCUCGCAGGCGGUUUCUUAAGUCUGAUGUGAAAGCCCCCGGCUCAACCGGGGAGGGUCAUUGGAAACUGGGGAACUUGAGUGCAGAAGAGGAGAGUGGAAUUCCACGUGUAGCGGUGAAAUGCGUAGAGAUGUGGAGGAACACCAGUGGCGAAGGCGACUCUCUGGUCUGUAACUGACGCUGAGGAGCGAAAGCGUGGGGAGCGAACAGGAUUAGAUACCCUGGUAGUCCACGCCGUAAACGAUGAGUGCUAAGUGUUAGGGGGUUUCCGCCCCUUAGUGCUGCAGCUAACGCAUUAAGCACUCCGCCUGGGGAGUACGGUCGCAAGACUGAAACUCAAAGGAAUUGACGGGGGCCCGCACAAGCGGUGGAGCAUGUGGUUUAAUUCGAAGCAACGCGAAGAACCUUACCAGGUCUUGACAUCCUCUGACAAUCCUAGAGAUAGGACGUCCCCUUCGGGGGCAGAGUGACAGGUGGUGCAUGGUUGUCGUCAGCUCGUGUCGUGAGAUG